UUGUUUGGUACUUUUUACACUUUUGCUUUCCAACUGUUCUCAAGCUGAUGUAGAUGUAAAGCUGAUCUUCAGCAUAAAACAACAAAACAGAUCAAAGCUUGUUGAAGCUGUUGUAAAUAACCACACUGCAGAUUCUGGUGCUGAUAAUGGCAGAUUGAGUAACACAGUAAGAAACCAUUCUUCUUAAAAACCAAGUGUUGCCAACAGAAUCUGUCCUUAGGAGACGAGUCAAGAAGAAGAAAGCCCAGAGAGGGGAGACCGGCGUGAUUGGGGCCAUAUUUGCCUUCAAACUGCUGUCUUAGGAAGCAGCAGCUGAGAGUCAAGCCUUAAGCUUUUGCAAACUUGGAAGAUAAAAGAGGAAAUCAUCUUAAUUGAAGCAAGGAGAGAAGAAAGAUAGAACAUAAGCCAAAUGAGAAAGGAGUACUCAUUCCAUCUCGGGAAGCUGGCCUCAACGUUGGGUGAUGGCCUGCCUCUGCUUGCCCACCUGGGGCAGCAUAACACUGCCCGCAGCUCCUUCCCACCCGGCCUGCUCGCUAAUUAGUCCAACACUAAACCACCAAGAUGCCCACGUGUGCUGUGUCCCAGCCUAGAAAAGAGAUCCAGGCAAAACAGGGUCCCUUCAGAACACACAGUCAUGUGGCACUGAGACCCAGGAUUCUGUACCAUCUGGAAUGCUCCAUUCGUUCACCAAAGUUCUGAAUUCUCUACUCAUCCAACAGUACUUUGUGAAAGAGCGCUUGAAUUGAAGGUGAGGAAAUCAUGUGCAUGCUCUGCAACUUCUCUCUGGCUGUGGAGUUUAGGACGUGUAUCUUGUGUACCUGCAAAGCUUUCAUGACUGGUGCGGAGCAUGCUACUCUUCCCACAAGUUUCCCUUAGGUUAGGGAACACUGGAAAUGACAUCUCUCCCCACACUGUCCUGACACAAAGGUGCCCCAGACAGUGUCGGUAAAUUCCACUCACUCCUGGAAUUCAGGUCACUUGUAUUUACAUUCAUAAUUUCCACCACCCAUUUUUUCCCCCCAGUAGGCUCUCCUCACUUCUUUCUUUGAGCUUUGGCUGAAUAUCUCAUCAAAAUGCCACAUAAACACCUUCGGGUGGGACUCCGGGGCCCAUUGGUUUAGUUGUUGAGGUUGAGGUUCUGUCCACGUUAAGUCAGAAAUGGU
Ochotona curzoniae (black-lipped pika) is the source of this 1163-nucleotide long non-coding RNA. RefSeq lists it as uncharacterized. The transcript is spliced from 4 exons. The record is from RefSeq and is a predicted model, not a curated record. Lineage: Eukaryota; Metazoa; Chordata; Mammalia; Lagomorpha; Ochotonidae.